Molecule: ribosomal RNA, 497 nt
Filed under: uncultured bacterium
Lineage: Bacteria
Description: partial 16S ribosomal RNA
Rfam family: Bacterial small subunit ribosomal RNA
Source: RNAcentral
GAUGAACGCUGGCGGCGUGCCUAAUACAUGCAAGUCGAGCGAACAGACGAGGAGCUUGCUCCUCUGACGUUAGCGGCGGACGGGUGAGUAACACGUGGAUAACCUACCUAUAAGACUGGGAUAACUUCGGGAAACCGGAGCUAAUACCGGAUAAUAUAUUGAACCGCAUGGUUCAAUAGUGAAAGACGGUUUUGCUGUCACUUAUAGAUGGAUCCGCGCCGCAUUAGCUAGUUGGUAAGGUAACGGCUUACCAAGGCAACGAUGCGUAGCCGACCUGAGAGGGUGAUCGGCCACACUGGAACUGAGACACGGUCCAGACUCCUACGGGAGGCAGCAGUAGGGAAUCUUCCGCAAAGGGCGAAAGCCUGACGGAGCAACGCCGCGUGAGUGAUGAAGGUCUUCGGAUCGUAAAACUCUGUUAUUAGGGAAGAUCAAAUGUGUAAGUAACUAUGCACGUCUUGACGGUACCUAAUCAGAAAGCCACGGCUAACUACGUG